UAAAAGUUACAUAUGUUUGAGAGUCAU
RNAcentral lists this non-coding RNA (27 nucleotides) under Mus musculus (house mouse). The record is from RNAcentral. Lineage: Eukaryota; Metazoa; Chordata; Mammalia; Rodentia; Muridae.